GUCUGAAGGAAACUGUGGGCUGAAGGUGUCCCUGCAUUAUGUACAGUCAGUGGAGAAGAUUGUGUUUAUGUGUAAGAGUAUGAGUACAUCGAUAGUGCAGACAGAGGAGAUUGCUGAGGACCAUAAGGAAGAGGUGGUGAUGGAAGAACUUGCUGAACUCCAGAGUGAGCAGCAGAAGGUGCCAUUUGAAGAGUAUUCCAUGGAGAAAGAGGAAGACAGGGAAGAGCUAAGAGACAGAGAACAGAAGCAUCACCUGAAGUAGAUCUCUUCCUCAUUCCUUAUGGUGCAGGACUCUCCCUCCAAACAAUAACCUCCUCCUCACCUACUACCUUCAUUUCCCCCACAGCAGAAGUCACACCUCAAGCAAGGUUAGUGUCCGCUCUUUUCAUGCUGUACUGUACUGUAUUUUGUUUUA
RNAcentral lists this long non-coding RNA (415 nucleotides) under Fukomys damarensis (Damara mole-rat). Its description in RNAcentral is "lncRNA (ENSFDAG00000022698.1)". The record is from RNAcentral. Lineage: Eukaryota; Metazoa; Chordata; Mammalia; Rodentia; Bathyergidae.